RNAcentral lists this long non-coding RNA (680 nucleotides) under Prunus persica (peach). RNAcentral describes it as "long non-coding RNA (PPER_LNC000204)". The record is from RNAcentral. Lineage: Eukaryota; Viridiplantae; Streptophyta; Magnoliopsida; Rosales; Rosaceae.
AUAGAUUCGAGCGAACAAAUGUGGCCUUAUUAGAACCUUGCCCGUGAAAACUCAAUGGGACAAAACUUGAGAUGAAGGAAAAAAACUGCCACACACUCCAUUAAGGCUACAAAAAAAAAACUCAUGACAAAUUCAAAAUAUCAGCGUGAUCUUGAAGAACACAUUGAGCCAUGGAGGACCCUCUUCAAGCCAAACGGUCUGUAGACACACUACCUAAAGAAAACUUAGCAAGUCUAUUAGCCACAAUAUUACAUAAUAUGAGAACAAAGACAAAAGAAAGAGAAGCAACAUUUCUAGAUAGUAUGUGGAUGUCGUUGAUAAUCCACGUGCAGUCUCAAAAGCCUCAUUGCCAGAGACGAUAUUGUUAAUGACAAUCUUCGCAUCUGACUCAACCACCAAUGAAUCAUAACCAGCCUCCCAUUGAAAUCGAAUGACUUCCCGAAUUGCUAAGAGUAGAGUAAUUGUGGUUGACAAACAUCCAAUGAUGAUAGGGACUGAAAUAACACCCAUAAGAUCUUCACGCACAUUUCUUACAACUGCCUUUAAUUCACGCCUCCAAACAGAAUUACCACAAGAACCAUUAAAAUUGGCACUUAGGUAAAGGGGGUAAAUCAAAACCCCAAUAGAUAUAUUUAAGACAACAAUAAUUAAAUGUUCCUAGUAACAAUAUGACUAGUCAA